This 200-nucleotide ribosomal RNA is filed under the name uncultured organism. Its description in RNAcentral is "partial small subunit ribosomal RNA". It matches the Rfam family "Bacterial small subunit ribosomal RNA", at positions 1184 to 1382 of the family's 1533-position model. The record is from RNAcentral.
GUCAAGUCAUCAUGCCCCUUAUGCCUUGGGCUGCAAACAUGCUACAAUGGCCGGUACAGAGGGUGGCGAUAUCGUAAGGUGGAGCGAAUCCCGUAAAGCCGGUCUCAGUUCGGAUUGGGGUCUGCAACUCGGCCCCAUGAAGCCGGAGUCGCUAGUAAUCGCAGAUCAGCAAUGCUGCGGUGAAUACGUUCCCGGGCCUU